This is a long non-coding RNA of Oryzias javanicus (javanese ricefish), 1888 nucleotides long. The record is from Ensembl. NCBI's taxonomy places the organism in Eukaryota, Metazoa, Chordata, Actinopteri, Beloniformes, Adrianichthyidae.
GAUCUGACACCUAUAAAUACCGUUGCACGACUAAAAAUUCAUUUGUCAGCGACUCCCAGCUGAGUGAGUAGUGCGACUCCGAGCUCUUGUUCAGGAUCACAUCUGUAAAUAUUGACGCCCUUCUAACGAAGAACACGCAAUAUUUCACAUUUCAUCUCUGAAGCAAUGGCUUAUUACGGCGGACGCAAACAGAACUUUCGGCAGAACUACGGUGUCGGAGCUCCCAAACGUGCUCCCAAACAUUAUACUCAGAGACACAACGUUCCCAAUCCAUCCGGGUAUAAUGCACAAGAAAACCCAACUGAGAGGCAGAACCUGGCCCAUCCAGACGCGAUCAUCUCUGAGCUCAGAGAUCAGAUCAGACGGGCGCAGGAAGAGAAAACUUGGCUGAUCCAACUGAGAUCAGCGGACGCCGAAAUAUUGCAGACGGCGGAAGCAGCCCGCAGAUUGGAACGUCAGAAACUGCAGGACAACAUCAACAACCUGCAGAAACACAACCAACAACUCCGUGGUCAAAAUGAAGAUCUGAUGAAAAAACAUCAAAUGUUCUCUUCUGACCAAACAUCUUUUAAUGCAACCAAAGAAAAGCUGCAAAAGAUGCGGGAAGAAGUUCAGACUCUCCGAGACCAGAGAAAGCAGGAUCAAAAGGUGGAUUUGAUGAAGAAAUCAGUCGAUGACAGCCAGAGACUGAUAGUGGAUCCCCACAAUCUAACCGACACGCCGCCUGCAGACAUGGAGGAGCUCAGAAAAACGCAGGAAUCUUGUGAAUUUGUCACACGAAAGUUUCAAGAGGGAAACAGGAAGCUGAGUCUGGAAGUGCAGGAGCUGAGAAGAGAAAACGACCAGCUGAAGAAGAAGCUCCAAGAAGCUUCCCAACUCCAAAACAUCCAUCCUGAAAUGAGCAAGCAAAUCCAACUGACUGAAAACGAGAGGAUCCGGUUAAGCAAGCAGCUGUUUGAGGAGAUCAAAACCUCAGAGAAGCUGAAAGAAAACCUCUUUUACCUGGAAGAUCAUGUGGAUGAACUGAAGUACAAGACCAGACAGUUGGAAGAAAAUACAAACCAAUGUUUGAACAUCAACGAUUAUGAUGUGAUAAUAGAAGAGGAAUGGAUAGAAGAAGAAGAAGAGAUGGAGGAAAAUGAAGCUGUGAAAGAAAAUGUGGUUGAGGAGGAUCAAGUGUUUGUUUCUGAACCACAAGUGGCUGCAGAACCUUCCAGAAAUCUCAAGAGAACUCUGGAGAUGGACCAAACAGAAUCUCCUGCUAAAAAACAGAGGAUCUCUAGACCAGUCAAGGUCAUUACUCGUCUGGCCAAACGACGAGCUUCAAGCAACGUAAAGCCUGAGAAGGAAACAGACUCAGCAGCUUUUGGACUGCCGUGGACCUUUUUGGAUCUAACUGAGCCCAAAAUAGAAGCUCCAGUUCCAGAACCAGAACCAGAGACAGUUUCUGAAGAAGAUCUCCAAGAAGAAGAGUCAGUGACCAUGGACUUGAAAGAGCCAUCCAAUCUGGAGAGACCAAAAAUCUCUCUGUGGAGAAGGUUCAAAAAGGCUCUGACUCCAGCAAGACGGCGCAAAUACAAGGCUGACGCUCCUGUGGUCGUCCCGGAUCAACCAUCAACCGACCCGGAGGAGGAAGAAACUUCUAUUGACCAAAACCAGGAAACGUCUACAGACCAAGACCUGGAAAUGUCAGAUAUGGAAGACGAGGAAGAAAUAUCUGAUGGUGAAGAAGAAGAAACAUCAGAUGAUGAAGACGAUGAGUCCUCAGAAAACACUGGAGGACAAAAGAUUUACAUGUGGAGGAGAUUUAAAAAGGCGCUCACACCAGCAGGCAGACGCCAGUAUAAACAAUAGAGAAACAGGUUUUCUCCUUGUGCUCAGGUUCCCC